RNAcentral lists this ribosomal RNA (2354 nucleotides) under Enterobacter cloacae. Its description in RNAcentral is "bacterial LSU rRNA". It matches the Rfam family "Bacterial large subunit ribosomal RNA", at positions 593 to 2925 of the family's 2925-position model. Lineage: Bacteria; Pseudomonadati; Pseudomonadota; Gammaproteobacteria; Enterobacterales; Enterobacteriaceae. The record is from RNAcentral.
GUGACUGCGUACCUUUUGUAUAAUGGGUCAGCGACUUAUAUUCUGUAGCAAGGUUAACCGUAUAGGGGAGCCGAAGGGAAACCGAGUCUUAACUGGGCGUUAAGUUGCAGGGUAUAGACCCGAAACCCGGUGAUCUAGCCAUGGGCAGGUUGAAGGUUGGGUAACACUAACUGGAGGACCGAACCGACUAAUGUUGAAAAAUUAGCGGAUGACCUGUGGCUGGGGGUGAAAGGCCAAUCAAACCGGGAGAUAGCUGGUUCUCCCCGAAAGCUAUUUAGGUAGCGCCUCGUGAACUCAUCUUCGGGGGUAGAGCACUGUUUCGGCUAGGGGGCCAUCCCGGCUUACCAACCCGAUGCAAACUACGAAUACCGAAGAAUGUUAUCACGGGAGACACACGGCGGGUGCUAACGUCCGUCGUGAAGAGGGAAACAACCCAGACCGCCAGCUAAGGUCCCAAAGUCAUGGUUAAGUGGGAAACGAUGUGGGAAGGCACAGACAGCCAGGAUGUUGGCUUAGAAGCAGCCAUCAUUUAAAGAAAGCGUAAUAGCUCACUGGUCGAGUCGGCCUGCGCGGAAGAUGUAACGGGGCUAAACCAUGCACCGAAGCUGCGGCAGCGACACUAUGUGUUGUUGGGUAGGGGAGCGUUCUGUAAGCCGUUGAAGGUGUGCUGUGAGGCAUGCUGGAGGUAUCAGAAGUGCGAAUGCUGACAUAAGUAACGAUAAAGCGGGUGAAAAGCCCGCUCGCCGGAAGACCAAGGGUUCCUGUCCAACGUUAAUCGGGGCAGGGUGAGUCGACCCCUAAGGCGAGGCCGAAAGGCGUAGUCGAUGGGAAACAGGUUAAUAUUCCUGUACUUGGUGUUACUGCGAAGGGGGGACGGAGAAGGCUAUGUCAGCCGGGCGACGGUUGUCCCGGUUUAAGCAUGUAGGCGGAGGUUCCAGGUAAAUCCGGUACCUUUUAACGCUGAGGUGUGAUGACGAGGCACUACGGUGCUGAAGUGAUAAAUGCCCUGCUUCCAGGAAAAGCCUCUAAGCAUCAGGUAACACGAAAUCGUACCCCAAACCGACACAGGUGGUCAGGUAGAGAAUACCAAGGCGCUUGAGAGAACUCGGGUGAAGGAACUAGGCAAAAUGGUGCCGUAACUUCGGGAGAAGGCACGCUGAUAGGUAGGUGAAGCCCCUGCGGGCGGAGCUGAAAUCAGUCGAAGAUACCAGCUGGCUGCAACUGUUUAUUAAAAACACAGCACUGUGCAAACACGAAAGUGGACGUAUACGGUGUGACGCCUGCCCGGUGCCGGAAGGUUAAUUGAUGGGGUUAGCGGCAACGCGAAGCUCUUGAUCGAAGCCCCGGUAAACGGCGGCCGUAACUAUAACGGUCCUAAGGUAGCGAAAUUCCUUGUCGGGUAAGUUCCGACCUGCACGAAUGGCGUAAUGAUGGCCAGGCUGUCUCCACCCGAGACUCAGUGAAAUUGAACUCGCUGUGAAGAUGCAGUGUACCCGCGGCAAGACGGAAAGACCCCGUGAACCUUUACUAUAGCUUGACACUGAACACUGGUCCUUGAUGUGUAGGAUAGGUGGGAGGCUUUGAAGCGUGGACGCCAGUCUGCGUGGAGCCAUCCUUGAAAUACCACCCUUUAAUGGCUGGUGUUCUAACGUAGACCCGUUAUCCGGGUUGCGGACAGUGUCUGGUGGGUAGUUUGACUGGGGCGGUCUCCUCCCAAAGAGUAACGGAGGAGCACGAAGGUUGGCUAAUCCUGGUCGGACAUCAGGAGGUUAGUGCAAUGGCAUAAGCCAGCUUGACUGCGAGCGUGACGGCGCGAGCAGGUGCGAAAGCAGGUCAUAGUGAUCCGGUGGUUCUGAAUGGAAGGGCCAUCGCUCAACGGAUAAAAGGUACUCCGGGGAUAACAGGCUGAUACCGCCCAAGAGUUCAUAUCGACGGCGGUGUUUGGCACCUCGAUGUCGGCUCAUCACAUCCUGGGGCUGAAGUAGGUCCCAAGGGUAUGGCUGUUCGCCAUUUAAAGUGGUACGCGAGCUGGGUUUAGAACGUCGUGAGACAGUUCGGUCCCUAUCUGCCGUGGGCGCUGGAGAAUUGAGGGGGGCUGCUCCUAGUACGAGAGGACCGGAGUGGACGCAUCACUGGUGUUCGGGUUGUCAUGCCAAUGGCACUGCCCGGUAGCUAAAUGCGGAAGAGAUAAGUGCUGAAAGCAUCUAAGCACGAAACUUGCCCCGAGAUGAGUUCUCCCUGAGACUUUAAGUCUCCUGAAGGAACGUUGAAGACGACGACGUUGAUAGGUCGGGUGUGUAAGCGCAGCGAUGCGUUGAGCUAACCGAUACUAAUGAACCGUGAGGCUUAACCUU